This is a long non-coding RNA of Leptinotarsa decemlineata (Colorado potato beetle), 312 nucleotides long. NCBI's taxonomy places the organism in Eukaryota, Metazoa, Arthropoda, Insecta, Coleoptera, Chrysomelidae. The record is from RefSeq and is a predicted model, not a curated record.
AGUUCAGGGUGAACCAAAGGUGUUGUAAUUUAGAACUAAUUUCAAAACUAUGAAACAGAGCUGAUCAUACGACGCGAACGACGACAUGGGAGGACCCAAGGAAAUCAUUGGCCGCACAAGCGGCACAGCAACAUCAAAGUGCGGAACUUUUGAUACCACAUCCACAAUCCCCUAAUCCUAACACUGCCAAAGUUAAUACAGAUGUAGAUUUAGGGCCGUUACCUGAAGGAUGGGAGCAGGCACAAACUCCCGAAGGGGAAAUCUAUUUCAUUAAUCAUCAAACACGUACGACCUCGUGGUUUGAUCCUCGAA